UGGCACAGUGGUUAAGUGCUCGGCUGUGAACCGAAAGGUCAGUGGUUCAAACCCACU
This 57-nucleotide transfer RNA is filed under the name Loxodonta africana (African savanna elephant). It matches the Rfam family "tRNA", at positions 8 to 63 of the family's 71-position model. From Rfam's summary of the family: Transfer RNA (tRNA) molecules are approximately 80 nucleotides in length. The record is from Rfam by way of RNAcentral. Lineage: Eukaryota; Metazoa; Chordata; Mammalia; Proboscidea; Elephantidae.